Long non-coding RNA from Passer montanus (Eurasian tree sparrow), 3968 nucleotides. RefSeq lists it as uncharacterized. The record is from RefSeq and is a predicted model, not a curated record. The transcript is spliced from 2 exons. NCBI's taxonomy places the organism in Eukaryota, Metazoa, Chordata, Aves, Passeriformes, Passeridae.
CAGUAUAUUCAUCUUGACCAAAAAAAGGUACUUUUAAAGUACUGCCCCAUCCUUACAUAAUCUGGGUUUGAAACUCCAGAUAAACUGAAAGUUUUAGAUUAGGAAUGAUUAUCCUUCUUUCCUCAUAGGACUAUUUCCCAAAUGUUGGACUGACACAUUUCUCACUUAAACUUCUUACUAUACCUGGAAUUUACUGACUCUGGAAAUACACCUGAAUUAUAAUUUAUUUACAACUGUGUAAAAAUUGUCAUUAAAUCACUGCAUUACAAACUCAGGAGCUUUCCUUCACCAAUACUUGUACUUAUUCUGUCCACUCUUAAAGAGGUUUCUCUAAAAUGGGUCCUCCUGUGAUGUUAAACCCACACAAUCCUGCAAGAAAAGUCUUCUUUCAGCACAGCAUUCAGUGACAUCUAUUUUUAAAAUAUUAUAUUGAAGUUAACUACAGCACUUACUAUUGUCUUUAGCAUGCAGAAACUUUCAUGAUGUACCACAUCAAACAGACAUAAGACAAAGGGAGGAAGGAACCAAAAGGGACAAAAGCACCUCAAGAAACCAGAACAAACUGUUUCUGAGGUAUUUUCUAUAGUCACAGAGACAAUACAGACAUCUUUUUUUCCACAGCUUAGUCUCACACCAGAUCCAUAUUCAUGUAACAUAAAAAAUGCAUCUCAGACUGGAGGAUGUGUCUUUGAAACACUAACUGGAGUGUGAAAUGCAUGUUCUAACCUUGAAAGGUUGGAAGGCACUAAUGCUGGGGCAAAGCAAAUAUUAUGUGAUCUUCAGAUGAAGCUGAUGCCUGGCAAGUAUUUAUAAAGAGGGGGAAAAAAGUGGGGAAUUUAGCACAAGAAACAAGCACCAUGACUGAAAUGAAACUAGAUGUGUACAUAAAAAUGUCAAGACAUCCACAGGUGCAAGCAUGGGCUCUUUGUAACCCUGACACACCAGGCUGGGAAGAGCCUGUCAUGGAAUUUUCUGGCCAACAGUGGCAGAUGCAGCAGCCCUUCAGCAUACAAAAGUGCAUUUCUAUGACACGGACAGAGCUGAGUGUUUGGUAUUCCAGAAAGUGCCCCUGGAAAUUCUGGUUUGUUAAACAUCAUGGAGGCCUCGCCAGGAGUCUGGCAGGGGCCUGAGGGAUUUUAAGUCCUCAAAUGAUUCAACUGGUUCUUCAGGACUAAUUUGGGCACAGCACAGCUAACACAGAGCAAGAAUUUAAAAUAUACUCCAAGAGUUGUGGCUGCAUUGUAUUUCCUUGUCUUCUUGCUCUGUCUGUUCUACAAUAACAUAAAGAGGAGACAACCUACAUAACACCGAUCAGACUCCGGAUCCACGCAGUAAAGCAGCCCAAAAACUCCUGGAGCUAAGCUUGGCCUAAAGGUGGUAAAGCCACGUUUCAACUGCACUGCAUCUGGUACAAUAAAGCCUCCCAAAGCCCACCCGUGUCUCAAACCUCACAUUCCCUUUUCCCUCCCUCUCUUCCUACAGUCAGCAUUCCACUCUGCUGGUCCUUCCUACAGCACCACAGCUCUGCACUUGCUGCAGACAGCAAGGCAAUUUAUUAUUCACCUGGCUGCUUUUUGGCAGUGCCUUCCAAAAGCUGGGAGCUGGGAAUCAACACGCAGAACCCCCUGCCUGAGAGGGGGCCACAGCUAAGAGCUCUGCCUUGACAAAGGCACUCUCACAUUUCUGCAUCUCAUGCAGAGCACAAAUUAACUGAUCCCUGCACAGCACCCAGACCUCGGGGCUGGGAGCAGCAGAUGAAACCUCAAACAGGGGAGGCAGCUGCAAUCCCACCCUGCCCAGCCUCGGUUCCUACAGCAAGGCACCUUCAGAGCCCUGGGCAUGCUGAGCUCGAGGCCUUGCAGCCACACCAGGCUGGUCUAGAGCAGCUGCAGUGUGGGUGCCCCAGCCACCAGGCUCUGCUGCUCCUCCCUCCAGGGACAAGGCAUUUGGGUCCCUCAAGCCAUUUCAGGCUCCCUGCAGGACUGGGUGGGAGCUCUGUGCUGAAAACUCCCUGGCAGUGUUGCUAAAGACACUGGAUCUGGAUACAGCCUGUGGCAACAGUCAGACCCAGAAACACAAGUCUGCCAGCCGAGAAAAAAGCUGUUAUUGAAAGUGAAGGAAACCUAAUGGAUGGCAGGUAAUCGACCACAACAAAAUUAGACUUGUAGGAAAGGAGAAUCCAGAAGCCUUCAUCAGGAUGGAGCAGUAUAAAUAAAAAUAUAAAAAUUAACCCAACCUGUAAGAGCUGCUUUUUUAAUCUGAAGCACACCCAACAUGAACACAGAAAUAAUAAUGGGCAAAAAACGAAACCUUAGUAUGGUCCAAAGGCCAAGUCACAGGUUGGACUAAAUAACUUUACACAGGCUGCAAAUAACAAUUUCCAGGUUUGGGAAGGCUAAACCCUCUGAGAUAUGGCACAGCAGCAUUACACCUGACACUUUUAUGCAGUACACAGACAGUAACCCAACCUUUUGCUUAUCAAAGUCUCCCUUGCAAAAGAAAAUAAAGCCUGAAGUCAGCAGGGUUGAAGUUAAAUAGUAACACUUUACAAGCUUCAGAAACACACAUGCCCUUUCAACAAACAGCUUAAUUAAGGCAUGAAACAUGGAUGUGUUCUUGAAAACACUCUGGAGUGGGGAGAUGAAAUCUGGACCGUGCCACACAGCAGCAUUCAUGACAUUUUGCUGUGGCAUUUCUCACUCCUCUGCAGCCCUCCCUCUCCCGACGGAGGGAACCAUUCUGCAGAAUGCUAAACACUCUCCAAGCACACUGACCAGCCUGAUCAACUGGGAGCACACAGGGAAUGUUGGGAUAUUGUCCUAGGGAGGCAGAACCUGAGUAUUUCACACUCUGAGCACAUUUCCUACGCCCACCCCAUCCACCCAAACAGUGAUCUUACAAAACUUACACACCACCCUUUAGGGGCACAGGCCCAGACACACAGAAAUCCACCUGUUCUGCAAGAAACUAACACUAUGCUAACAAAAAGGCACUUCAAGGAGCACGAAGGCUUAAUUUUAAAUAUUUCUAAAGGCUACACUGGCCACUAAGACACGUGGCUGCUGGCAAUAACUCCUCCCUCAACUUUUCAUCCCCACCCCUCCAAAUACCACCGAUUUUAAACAGAAUCCCAACCACUAAAACAGAGCCAUUUUGGAGAAACUCUGCCAGCAAGCUGGAAUCAUUCACAGUAAUACCAAAUUUUAAAAGGUGGUGUAUAUAUAUAUAUAUAUGUAUAUAACACUGUGGUGGUACCUCCCUAAAAAUUAAAGAGAUUAGGGUAAAUACAGACUUUAGUAUAAUUUAAAAAAAAACCCACAAAAAAAACCCCACAAAAAACACAAACAAGCAAGCCAAACUCCGCUGAAACUGCAGUUAUCUCACAGAACCCCAGCAGCAUUAGGUGUGGAAGGGAGCUCAGGAGAUGCCCUGCUCCAGCCCUCCUGCCCAGGCAAGGUCAGCGGCUGCAGCAGGUGACACAGGAAUGCGUCCAGCUGGGUUUGGAUGUGCCCAGAGAGGGAAACUCGGCGCCCUGCCGGGCAGCCGUGCCAGCGCCCUGCCGCCCUGAGCAUAAAGAGGCUCUUCCUCCUGCUGAGGUGGCGCUUCUUGGGCUUUAGUUUAGCUCCUACCAAACGGAACGGGCGCUGCACCACAAAGAAGACCCUUCAUCAAACAAAAGGGAAGUCGCUGUCUUAACCCACAGGAAUGUGUGGCAGUGGGACAUUUAAAGGCAAACACGAUCUGCAGCCUUCUGAAGCUUCAGCUGGGAAAGGAGAGGGAGCAGAGAGUGGAGAGCUGCUUGACUAGCUGUGCAGUAACUGCUCAGAAUUCAGGUUCUUCAGAAGUGAAACACAAACGUGUCUCGGCUGACAAGCUGUCCUGGCCUUGGAGAACAGGGACUUUGUGGCAGGAGCCCAAUGUGUUGAAAAUAUUUGAGAAAUAAAUGCAACUCCUAUUCAAAACCCCAA